RNAcentral lists this unclassified non-coding RNA (862 nucleotides) under Lactiplantibacillus plantarum. RNAcentral describes it as "Lactobacillus plantarum partial contains 16S ribosomal RNA, 16S-23S ribosomal RNA intergenic spacer, and 23S ribosomal RNA". The stretch from base 336 to 862 matches the Rfam family "Bacterial large subunit ribosomal RNA", at positions 1 to 522 of the family's 2925-position model. Lineage: Bacteria; Bacillati; Bacillota; Bacilli; Lactobacillales; Lactobacillaceae. The record is from RNAcentral.
UGAGAGUUUGUAACACCCAAAGUCGGUGGGGUAACCUUUUAGGAACCAGCCGCCUAAGGUGGGACAGAUGAUUAGGGUGAAGUCGUAACAAGGUAGCCGUAGGAGAACCUGCGGCUGGAUCACCUCCUUUCUAAGGAAUAUUACGGAAACCUACACACGCGUCGAAACUUUGUUUAGUUUUGAGAGAUUUAACUCUCAAAACUUGUUCUUUGAAAACUAGAUAAUAUCAAAUAUAUUUUUUCAUAAUGAAACCGAGAACACCGCGUUUUUUGAGUUUUUUAUUGAAGUUUAAUUAUCGCUAAACUCAUUAAUCGCAUUUACCGUUAGGUAAAUGAGGUUAAGUUAACAAGGGCGCAUGGUGAAUGCCUUGGCACUAGGAGCCGAUGAAGGACGGGACUAACACCGAUAUGCUUCGGGGAGCUGUACGUAAGCUAUGAUCCGGAGAUUUCCGAAUGGGGCAACCCAGCAGUUUUAAUCAACUGGUACCACUAGAUGAAUUCAUAGUCUAGUUGGAGGUAAACGCUGUGAACUGAAACAUCUCAUUAGCAGCAGGAAUAUAAAGAAAUUUCGAUUCCCUAAGUAGCGGCGAGCGAACGGGGAACAGCCCAAACCAAAGUGCUUGCACUUUGGGGUUGUAGGACUGAACAUUUGAGUUACCAAAGAACUUGAUAGUCGAAGGAUUUGGGAAAAUCCGCCAUAGAUGGUGAUAGCCCAGUAGAUUAAAUCAAAUUCUCUCAGUUCAGGAUCCUGAGUACGGCGGAACACGUGAAAUUCCGUCGGAAUCCGGGAGGACCAUCUCCCAAGGCUAAAUACUACCUAGUGACCGAUAGUGAACCAGUACCGUGAGAGAAAGGGGGAAAAA